RNAcentral lists this transfer RNA (77 nucleotides) under Acidobacteriota bacterium. RNAcentral describes it as "tRNA-Met". It matches the Rfam family "tRNA". Rfam says of the family: Transfer RNA (tRNA) molecules are approximately 80 nucleotides in length. Their secondary structure includes four short double-helical elements and three loops (D, anti-codon, and T loops). Lineage: Bacteria; Pseudomonadati; Acidobacteriota. RNAcentral also lists the same sequence under 1 other name. The record is from RNAcentral.
CGCGGGGUGGAGCAGUCUGGUAGCUCAUUGGGCUCAUAACCCAAAGGUCGUUGGUUCAAAUCCAACCCCCGCUACCA